CAUAUGAAUAAUCUCAUAAAGAUGGUUGUAAAAAUAUAGUAUUAUAGAUCUAAAUUUGCAUAUUUAUUUUUUUUCAAGCAUAGGCUUUGAACAUUUAAAUUUGGAAAUAAAAGUGUUUUCUUUACGCUAAAUUUAGGGGUUUUAGUUCAUUCUUGUUUCAAACAAUACAUGAAGUUCCAAUGGGUGAUUUAAUUCCUACAGUUACGGAUGGGAGAGGAGUAAUAAUGCAAUACAAAAAUAGUGGGUCUGUUUUUGUGAAUAGCCAGUCAUUGUAUCCAAUGCAAAUUUGUAAAUGCAAAUUGUAUAUGUUUUUCUUAGAUUCAUCAUACACAAUUUAAAAUCAAAAGUAAAAUGGUCAAGAAAUAUAUUUUCAAAAUAAACUAGAAAACAAUCCUUAAUCCAGACCAUCUAUAAAUGGGUUCCACAAUUGUGGAAGGUAGCUAUUAAUGAAUAAUGGCAAAUAUGAC
Non-coding RNA from Pelobates cultripes (western spadefoot toad), 467 nucleotides. Lineage: Eukaryota; Metazoa; Chordata; Amphibia; Anura; Pelobatidae. The record is from the annotation of a GenBank genome assembly.